CAGACAGACGCGGUCACACACGAGGGUGGGUUUCAGCUCCCACUUGUUUUUUUGGUCAGGUUCCCCAAGAAACAGACUCGGGAUUUGCAUGCAGGAGUCUUAUUGGGGAACGCUUUCAGGAACUACCACCCCGUAUGGGAGCGAGAGAAGCAGGACUGUGCAGAAGGAGAAGUUGAACAACUCCUGGAAAGCUCUGAAGCUGGGAUCAUCCUUCCAGAAUGUCUUGGAUUGAGACAAGGGUACUUUAAUCAGCAUUUAAUGACCCAGUCGAAAAUUCAUUGUUUGGACCCAAGCACUGGUGGGAAAGGCAGGAGGGGAGGCCUGCCUUCCUUCCUCCCUCCCGAGCCCUACAGCAGGCCAUGGAGUGGUGAGCGAGUUCGUACAGUGCCAACCACAUUCCCAGAAACUUCCAGCAGAGGUUAAUCCUGCUCCUCUCAGGUGGGCUUGGCCCAUUCUCUAGACUUUGGAAGGUAAUGUUCUAUAGAGGCCUGUUCUGAAGCUUUACCAGGUCAAACCGGAGAAGAACCCAACAAGUAACUCAUCCCAGCCUAACUAUUCUUCAAGGGCAAUCAACCUACAGCAUCCAAGCACAGAGAAAUCAAAUCCAUGGAGAAUCUUCAAAUUAGGCUCAGAAUCCAUUUGGGUCAAUGAAUUUACUGUUAUUAAGAUCUUAGUUGUGUUCAACCAUGAUUUGACAUACCUUAGAGUGAGAAGAUAUUCUUCCUGGCCUCAGACUAGUUGAAGGUAGAGAGAGAGACAGGCCCUUGGGUGUGGGGAGACCUCUCCUGGGAUAAUACACACAAAAAACCAAGAGCUGCUCACUGUGGUGCAGGAGACAGCAGGGCCUGAAGCCAGAGGCUCUGUGUCCUUGAAUACAAUGUUUUACUCCUCUGACCCCUGUUACUGUGAUUUGGAGAGGCAGACAAUAUAGGAUGGGCUUUGCAGGCAGGGAGGUCCAGUUAUAAUCCCAGCUCUUACUAAGUUGGGUAAGACUCACUCUGAGACUUAGUUUCUUCUGUCAUCUCUCAAUAGAAUCAUAAAGGUACUUUCCUCUUAGUGUUGUUUUAAAAUUCAGUAAAAUAAUGCAGGCUUAGCACAGGGUCUGAUGUAAAUUUUCAAUGAAUUAUCGUUGUCAAUAUUGUUCUGGAAAACAAGAGGGCAUAUUAGAAGAUCAAAAGUACUGCCAAGCAUUGAAGUGCCAAUUCUAGAUCCAGUCUCAGCCCUCUGAGAAUGGAUAUCAUUGUUUUCAAGCCAUUCAGAAACCAAUGUGAAUUGAACACCUAGUAUGAGCUCUCUGAGGGAAGAGCCAAGUCAUGCAUUUUUUAUCUUAAGGGGUCUUCAAUACCUCUAGCCCAAAACAGUAUCUCCAUCAGGAUUCUUCUCUGAUAGUGUUCAUUUCUUUUUUCUCAAUGGAUGCCUUAAAAAAAAAAUCCUACAAGGAAACCUGUACUCCUCAAAUACACCACUCAGGUGACCAUUAAAUCAUUUACAUUGUUAA
This 1498-nucleotide long non-coding RNA is filed under the name Homo sapiens (human). RNAcentral's name for it is "ZNF503 antisense RNA 1". The record is from RNAcentral. Lineage: Eukaryota; Metazoa; Chordata; Mammalia; Primates; Hominidae.